UCCGGUUUCGGUGGCUUCCACA
Molecule: non-coding RNA, 22 nt
Filed under: Arabidopsis thaliana (thale cress)
Lineage: Eukaryota; Viridiplantae; Streptophyta; Magnoliopsida; Brassicales; Brassicaceae
Source: RNAcentral